ACUGUUGAAAACUUUUGAAAAUACUGAAAUAUGUAGUUGAAAAUAAGAAUGAAACUAAAAUAAGAAUGAUUUAGAGUAGCAUAAAAUUUUGACGGAAACAGCCGGGGUGCUCUUUGCUGCUGGACCCUGAAAGAAGACGGCGGCAGAAAGAAGAUGGCGGGUAUUUUAUGUAGCAAGUGGAUGUCCCUGAAGAAAUGAAAUCUGGAAUGGUAGAAGGUAUCUCUAUUGAUUCUUCUAAGUUGGAAUUGGCUAUGGUGACCAACAAUGGAUUUGAGGACCUUAUGGUGGAGAAAAACGUCCUUCUUUCCGGCCUCCAAUUAGAUGUUGAAGAUGAUUAAUCACUUGAGGAGAUGCUAACAACCAUGUUGCCUUUUAAUGUCACAGUACUUUCUAAAGGCGGCAGUAUAUUUACCAUCACAAAAGAAGAAUCAACAAAUCGUGGAAACUAAAAAAAUGUGGAAAAGAUCAUUGUAUACUGCAUUUGUAGUAAAUUUGUAUACAAUCUUCAAUUUACUUGAGUAGAAAGAUUCACUAGUUAUACCAAGUUUGUGUAGAAAGGAUCACUGUAUACUGAGUUUGUAGUGUACAUAGAAAGGUUUACUUAUUUAUUUUUUUUCUGAGUUUAGUGUAUACAAUAUAUAAAAAAAACUUUUUGUAGAAAAGAUCACCGCAUACUGAGUUUGUUGUUUACAAAUGUGUAGAAAAGAUCGCUGUAUACCGAGUUUAUAGUUUACAAUUGUCUAGAAAAAUCACUGUAUACUGAACAUAAUAUGACUUCUGUUUAAAACCUUCAUUUAAACUUAGGCAUGUAUUUUUUUAUGUAUCUUAAAAGUCUACCUACAACAAUUUUGUGUAUGCAAUCUUGUACUAGGAUAUUGACAUGACAAGAUUACAUUGCUGAUCAAAGCAUGGAAAGAAUACUGUAUCUAAAAACUGAAUAAAACAAGAUAUAAGCAUC
Molecule: long non-coding RNA, 958 nt
Organism: Ylistrum balloti
Lineage: Eukaryota; Metazoa; Mollusca; Bivalvia; Pectinida; Pectinidae
Exons: 2
Source: RefSeq, a predicted model, not a curated record